This 301-nucleotide ribosomal RNA is filed under the name uncultured bacterium. Its description in RNAcentral is "partial 16S ribosomal RNA". It matches the Rfam family "Bacterial small subunit ribosomal RNA", at positions 509 to 807 of the family's 1533-position model. The record is from RNAcentral.
CAGCAGCCGCGGGAAUACGGAGGGUGCGAGCGUUAAUCGGAUUUACUGGGCGUAAAGCGUGCGUAGGCGGCUUUUUAAGUCGGAUGUGAAAUCCCUGAGCUUAACUUAGGAAUUGCAUUCGAUACUGGGAAGCUAGAGUAUGGGAGAGGAUGGUAGAAUUCCAGGUGUAGCGGUGAAAUGCGUAGAGAUCUGGAGGAAUACCGAUGGCGAAGGCAGCCAUCUGGCCUAAUACUGACGCUGAGGUACGAAAGCAUGGGGAGCAAACAGGAUUAGAUACCCCGGUAGUCCCUGUCUCUUAUAC